Molecule: ribosomal RNA, 492 nt
Filed under: uncultured bacterium
Lineage: Bacteria
Description: partial 16S ribosomal RNA
Rfam family: Bacterial small subunit ribosomal RNA
Source: RNAcentral
GAUGAACGCUAGCUACAGGCUUAACACAUGCAAGUCGAGGGGAAACGACAUCGAAAGCUUGCUUUUGAUGGGCGUCGACCGGCGCACGGGUGAGUAACGCGUAUCCAACCUGCCCACCACUUGGGGAUAACCUUGCGAAAGUAAGACUAAUACCCAAUGAUAUCUCUAGAAGACAUCUGAAAGAGAUUAAAGAUUUAUCGGUGAUGGAUGGGGAUGCGUCUGAUUAGCUUGUUGGCGGGGUAACGGCCCACCAAGGCAACGAUCAGUAGGGGUUCUGAGAGGAAGGUCCCCCACAUUGGAACUGAGACACGGUCCAAACUCCUACGGGAGGCAGCAGUGAGGAAUAUUGGUCAAGGGACGAGAGUCUGAACCAGCCAAGUAGCGUGCAGGAAGACGGCCCUAUGGGUUGUAAACUGCUUUUAUAAGGGAAUAAAGUGAGUCUCGGGAGACUUUUUGCAUGUACCUGAUGAAUAAGGACCGGCUAAUUCCGUG